This 73-nucleotide transfer RNA is filed under the name Myotis brandtii (Brandt's bat). It matches the Rfam family "tRNA". Rfam says of the family: Transfer RNA (tRNA) molecules are approximately 80 nucleotides in length. Lineage: Eukaryota; Metazoa; Chordata; Mammalia; Chiroptera; Vespertilionidae. The record is from Rfam by way of RNAcentral.
GCCGGUGUGGCUCAGUGGGCAGAGCCUCGGCCUGAGGACCGAAGGGCCCCGGGUUCAAUUCCGGUCAAGGGCA